UNCAAAUGUAGCCCUAUAGGUGGUGAUUCU
Molecule: non-coding RNA, 30 nt
Filed under: Rattus norvegicus (Norway rat)
Lineage: Eukaryota; Metazoa; Chordata; Mammalia; Rodentia; Muridae
Source: RNAcentral